CCAAGAUCGCACCAUUGCACUCCAGCCUGGGCAACAAGAGUGAGACUCCAUCUCAAGAAAAAAAAAAAUACAAAUAUUAGCCGGUCAUGGUGGCUCAGGCCUGUAAUCCCAGCUACUCAGGAGGCUGAGGCUGGAGGAUUACUUAAGCCCAGGAAGCAGAGGUUGUAGUGAGCUGAGAUGGCACCAUCGCACACCAGCCUGGGCAACGGAGCAAGAUCCCAUCUCAAAAAUAAAUAAACAAAUAAUAAAUAAAUAAAAUAAAUACUUAAAAUUUCAUGGGAAGAGGGGAGAACCAGGGGGAAAUGUCUAAAAAUACUCCUUAGAGGAGCAAGAUAAUAAUAAUAGGUUGAGGGCUGGGCACAGUGGCUCAUGCCUGUAAUCCCAACACUUAGGGAGGCCAAGGUAGGCAGAUCACUUGAGGUCAGGAGUUUGAGACCAGCGUGGCCAACAUGGUGAAACCUUAUCUCUACUAAAAAUGCAAAAAGUAGCCGGGCGUGGUGGUGAGCGCCUGUAAUCCCAGCUACUCUGGAAGCUGAAGUUAGGAGAAUCACUUGAGCCCGGGAGAUGGAGGUUGCAGUAAGCCAAGAUCUCACCACUGCACUCCAGCCUGGGCCACAGAGCAAGACUCUGUCUCAAAUAAAUAAAUAGUUGUGGAGCACUUUGGGAGGCUGAGGUGGGUGGCUCAUUUGAGGUCAGGAGUUCAAGACCAGCCUGGCCAAUAUGGUGAAAUCCCAUCUCUACUAAAAAUACAAAAAAAAUUUAGCCAGGCCUGGUGGCAGGUGCCUGUAGUCUCAGCUAUUUGGUAGGUUGAGGCAGGAGAAUCGCUUGAACCCAGCAGGCGGAGGUUGCGGUGAGCCAAGAUCGCACUACUGCACUCCAGCCUGGGUGACAGAGCAAGACUCCAUCUCCAAUAUAUGUAUAUAUAUAAAUAUAUUCUCUGUGGUCCAUGGGCAAUGAGUGACCUAGCUAGAGUCUUCAUGGAGAUGGAAUGAAGUCAUGUACAAAAUGGAAAGCCUGCUGCCAAUGGCUGCCAAAUGCUCAAUCAAUGUGCCUAACAUGAAGAAUGAGUAAAUCUCAGUCAUUUCUUUUUGGAGACAAGGUCUCACUCUGUUCACCAGGCUGGAGUGCAGUGGCACAAUCACAGCUCACUGCAGCCUCGACCUCCUGGGCUCAAGCAAUCCUCCAUCUUCCCACCUCAGCCUCCUGCAUAGCUGGGACUACAGGUUCACGCCACCAUGCCUGGCUAAUUCUUUAUUUUUUGUAGAGACAGAGUCUUGCUAUGUUGUCCAGGCUGGUCUUGAACUCCUGGGCUCAAGCCUCAGCCUCCAAAGUCCUGGGAUUACAGGCAUGAACCACUGUGCCCAGCCUCACUAAUUUCUUUUUUCUUUUCUUUUCUUUUUUGAGACUGAGUCUCACUCUUGCAGCCCAGGCUGGAGUGCAAUGGCAUGGUCUCGGCUCAAUGCAACCUCUGCCUCCCGGGUUCAAGCAAUUCUCCUGCCUCAGUCUCCUGAGUAGCUGGGCUUACAGGCACCUGCCACCACCCCUAGCUAAUUUUUUGUAUUUUUAGUAGAGAUGGGGUUUUACCGUGUUGGCCAGGCUGGUCUCCAACUCCUGACCUCAGGUGAUCCACCUACCUUGGCUUCCCAAAGUGCUGGGAUUACAGCCGUGAGCCACAGAGCCCGGCCAGUAAUUUCAUCUUCUUCUUCUUUUUUUUUUUUUUUUUUUUUUUUUUUUUUGAGAGAAGUCUCACUCUUAUCCCCCAGGUUUGAGUGCAAUGGCUCGAUCUCGGCUCACUGCAACCUCCACCU
RNAcentral lists this long non-coding RNA (1808 nucleotides) under Homo sapiens (human). RNAcentral describes it as "HSALNT0262466". Lineage: Eukaryota; Metazoa; Chordata; Mammalia; Primates; Hominidae. The record is from RNAcentral.